UUUAUAAUAAAUCAAAGCUUGAUAAGAAAUAAUAUUUAGAAAAUUUUAACAGCAAUAAUAUUAUGUUUUAAUUGAACAACUCAAUAAAUUGAUAUCGUUGUAUCCCUAUAAUCAAACCAAUGCCAGUUAGGCAGUUCCCGCUUUUCGCUCCUUUUUCAAAAUGCAAAAUAUCGCUUGUCGUCUGCCACGCUGUUUUUGGAUGUCGCUGAGAAGCGCCCUAAGCCACCAGUCUCGGCUACCAGUGGUUUGCUGAGUAUCCGUGAUUUUUUGGUGGGGGAGGUCGUAAGCUCUUAUUGCACUUAUUACACAGUUUACAUUAUGGUUGCCAGAUCCCAGCGACAGGUCACCAGUCUUUAUUGACACGGCGGGUCUAACUUGUGACGCCUUUUUGGUUGAUAAUACUCGGACACCAAAUGGUAUCUUUCUGGUUACCCACUGAUUCCUAAGACAGGAGACUAAUAAAAGGCUAAGAGGCCAGUACACUGCAGUAAUUUGAAAAAAAUGGGGCAAAUUCUCCUCAACUUCCACUUACUUUACGGUAACCGCUUUUCUCUUUAUUGAAUAUUUGACAAAAAUGGCCUUUUUGGCAAAUGUUCAACCAAGAGGAAGUACACUUCACUUCAGAUUACUUUUCUUCAAAGAGUAUUAAGCCUGCAGAUCCAUUUAUCUAAGCGAGAGGACCCGAUUGUGCUUGAGCAUCACUAACUAGGAAACUGGCGUUUCUCUUGUUAGAAUAUCAUAUGGGGAUCCCUGAGUAUUAAUAGUAGUGCCCAGAAGAUGUUUUUGCAAGAGGAAUUGCUGACAAUAAUAACCUAGUUUUCAUCAUGAAUUCAGUCUUAGCAGAAACAAAACCGAGCUCAUCAUGUAUACUACAAACUAAAUGUAAGUUAUUAGUCAAUGAAGAAACGCCUGGAUGAACGGUUUACUCAGAUGUCGAUCGAAAAAGAUAAUGAGAGAAUUGGAAGAAGUUGAUCAAUACGAUGUUAGAAAGUCUAUGGUGAGUGUAUAUCCUUGUUUUAUUCAUUUUGUUUUUAUUAAAAUCAUGGUUAAUUUGACAUACCGAACCAUGAGUUCCUUAUUACAUUAGGACACCCGGCUGAGUUGCAAGUGGGACACCAGAGAGCCACCAGUGGCGACCAUGAGUAUAUCAAGCUGGGACACCAAUGCCAGUGUCUCAGCGGAGGCCAGGUUGGCGUCCCUAGUGAAACACCAGUCGGCCGCCAAAAACUGUUGUUUCGGUGGUUGUCCCUAGUGUAAUAAUAACUAUUACCCCCGAUCCGCUAGGCCACUUCGUCGAUAGAGUGGUAGAGUGGACAUUACUGUCCUAACUUAGCCUUUUCAUCAAAUAAAUAAGUACUUCUAUGCUUCGUGUCCCUCUGGUGACCCAGCCUGUUGUCCUAAUUCAAUACAUACCUAAAAUGUUAUAACUAAUUGUAGUUCAACUUCGUUUAUUUGGAAUAAAUAAAACUUGUCAAGGACAAUGAAUCUCAAGUUUUGAAAGAUUAAACACUAAUUUGUGUUUAUAAUAAUAUUAUAACACGAUAAUGUAUUAAAAUAUUGCAUAUAUCUCUUAUCUUGAAUUACAUAGAAGCAGUUCAUUUCAAAAGUUAUACAAAUUGAUACAAAAUUUGAUUAUUUUAUUCAUUAUUUUCCUGAAAAAUUGAAUUAUUCUAUUCUGGAAGUAAUUUAGCCACUUGAGCGGCUUUGCCGUUUUCAAAAUUAAUAGGAUGCUGUAUUACAAAUUUCUGAUGUUAAAUGUGUUUUUUCACAUUAGUUUAGUAAUUUCAAUAUUUUCAUGAUUUAUAAAAUUUAAUUUUAUUUGUUGUAGACUAAUCUCUUUAUAAUCGAUGUAUUAUCUUAUUUAACAUAUUUUUGAACUAAAAGCUAUUCUAAAUCGUGUGAAAUUGAAUACCCAAUGUGAUGUUGGGUCUUAUUCAAAUACUGAAGAAUAAUAGUUUGGGAAUCUCCUGUGAGGGUAUUCUGUCCUUGAUAAUUUCAAUAAAUGUUUGUAAAAAUGAAUUAUUCAAUUGAUCAUUUUGAAAUAUUAAAUAUUUAAAUUGACAACGAAAUGACAUUGACAUAUACAACAAUGAAAUAUACACAUAUGACAAGUGACAUUGUAGAGCAUUGUGGCUCAACGAAAUUAUAAGGAAUGUUAGAUAAAAAUGGGUUACAGGAAAUAUUGAGUUUCGCCUAAAAAUUGUCUUUGAAAGAGACAAUUCUACCAGAUGAAAACUAAUUUGAUAUCGCUGUUAAUGAAUUUUUUUCCAUUAUGAAAUAUUUUUCCCCGAAAAUUGUAUGUGUCAUGACAUGAAUAAUCCAUUAUCAAUAUGAUAUACGACAUAUUUAAUGUCUAGAUCUGGGAAUACCUCCAUCGUUCCAUAAAACAAUAAAAUAAUGAUUUUUUUUCUUGGGAUUCUGAUUAAUUUAAUUCAAUAUAUUUUCAAGAUAAUGAGAUCUUUUGUGACAUUCUAUUCAAUCCAAAAAAAAAUCGCAAUUGAUAGCCAAAAAAGAUAUCAAGCUCUGACCAAGUACUUAAAAAUGUACUUUGUGAUUAGAAAACAUCGAAACACAUCCUUUAACUUUGGUACCUACUUUGCCUUCUAGAAAACAAUGAUCACAAUUUAAAAUUGAUUUAAAAAAAAAACUAUAUUUAGAUAAUGUGAUGGGAGAGGAGCUCUCAUGUUUCUUCUUUGCUCACACCAUUUUUUUCAAGUGUGAUUCAAUAAACACAAAUUUCUCAAAUUAUUUACGAAAAGAUCAAAUCUUAGUUCGUGAAUCAAAGUUAAUGGAGAAGAAUUGAUCAAUGAUCUAAAUAGCUAAAUAUUGCAUUUAUCAUAAAUAUUGUAGAGCGUCAAAUGGAAUAAGAUUUUUU
Molecule: long non-coding RNA, 2875 nt
Filed under: Nilaparvata lugens (brown planthopper)
Lineage: Eukaryota; Metazoa; Arthropoda; Insecta; Hemiptera; Delphacidae
Description: uncharacterized LOC120351701
Source: RNAcentral